AGUGAACGCUGGCGGUAGGCCUAACACAUGCAAGUCGAACGGCAGCACAGUAAGAGCUUGCUCGUACGGGUGGCGAGUGGCGGACGGGUGAGGACUACAUCGGAAUCUACUUUUUCGUGGGGGAUAACGUAGGGAAACUUUCGCUAAUACCGCAUACGACCUACGGGUGACAGCAGGGGAUCUUCGGACCUUGCGCGAUUGAAUGAGCCGAUGUCGGAUUAGCUAGGUGGCGGGGUAAAGGCCUACCAAGGCGACGAUGCGUAGUUGGUCUGAGAGGAUGAUCAGCCACACUAGAACGGAUGAGCGGCCGAGACUCCUACGGGAGGCAGCAGUGGGGAAGAUUAGAGAAUGGGGGCAAGCCUGAUCCAGCCAUACCGCGUGGGUGAAGAAGGCCUUCGGGUUGUAAAGCCCUUUUGUUGGGAAAGAAAAGCAGCUGGUUAAUACCCCGCUGGUCUGACGGUACCCAAAGAAUAAGCACCGGCUAACUUCGUG
This 492-nucleotide ribosomal RNA is filed under the name uncultured bacterium. RNAcentral describes it as "partial 16S ribosomal RNA". It matches the Rfam family "Bacterial small subunit ribosomal RNA", at positions 29 to 507 of the family's 1533-position model. The record is from RNAcentral.